Molecule: small nucleolar RNA, 135 nt
Filed under: Cervus hanglu yarkandensis (Yarkand deer)
Lineage: Eukaryota; Metazoa; Chordata; Mammalia; Artiodactyla; Cervidae
Description: Small nucleolar RNA SNORA70 (ENSCHYG00000005935.1)
Rfam family: Small nucleolar RNA SNORA70
About the family: snoRNA U70 seems to be exclusive to mammals and is a member of the H/ACA class of snoRNA which contain H (ANANNA) and ACA box motifs. H/ACA box snoRNAs are involved in the conversion of uridines to pseudouridines (5-ribosyluracil) a constituent of structural RNAs (transfer, ribosomal, small nuclear, and small nucleolar).
Source: Rfam by way of RNAcentral
UUGCAGCCAAUUAAGCCGACUGUGCUCUUUUCCCCAUGGGGGCCCAGUGUGCAAUGGCUGCAAACAGCAGCCUCCUUGGUAGCGUAUGCAACCUGUUGCCUGUACAGGUAGCCCUAAGGGACCUUGGAGACAACU